UACGUAGGAGGCUAGCGUUGUCCGGAAUUACUGGGCGUAAAGAGCUCGUAGGUGGUUUGUCGCGUUGUCCGUGAAAACUCACAGCUUAACUGUGGGCGUGCGGGCGAUACGGGCAGACUGGAGUACUGCAGGGGAGACUGGAAUUCCUGGUGUAGCGGUGGAAUGCGCAGAUAUCAGGAGGAACACCGGUGGCGAAGGCGGGUCUCUGGGCAGUAACUGACGCUGAGGAGCGAAAGCGUGGGGAGCGAACAGG
Molecule: ribosomal RNA, 253 nt
Filed under: uncultured bacterium
Lineage: Bacteria
Description: partial 16S ribosomal RNA
Rfam family: Bacterial small subunit ribosomal RNA
Source: RNAcentral